This 465-nucleotide ribosomal RNA is filed under the name Vreelandella stevensii. RNAcentral describes it as "partial 16S ribosomal RNA". It matches the Rfam family "Bacterial small subunit ribosomal RNA", at positions 338 to 795 of the family's 1533-position model. Lineage: Bacteria; Pseudomonadati; Pseudomonadota; Gammaproteobacteria; Oceanospirillales; Halomonadaceae. The record is from RNAcentral.
CCUACGGGUGGCUGCAGUGGGGAAUAUUGGACAAUGGGGGCAACCCUGAUCCAGCCAUGCCGCGUGUGUGAAGAAGGCCCUCGGGUUGUAAAGCACUUUCAGUGAGGAAGAACGCCUGGUGGUUAAUACCCAUCAGGAAAGACAUCACUCACAGAAGAAGCACCGGCUAACUCCGUGCCAGCAGCCGCGGUAAUACGGAGGGUGCGAGCGUUAAUCGGAAUUACUGGGCGUAAAGCGCGCGUAGGUGGCUUGAUAAGCCGGUUGUGAAAGCCCCGGGCUCAACCUGGGAACGGCAUCCGGAACUGUCAAGCUAGAGUGCAGGAGAGGAAGGUAGAAUUCCCGGUGUAGCGGUGAAAUGCGUAGAGAUCGGGAGGAAUACCAGUGGCGAAGGCGGCCUUCUGGACUGACACUGACACUGAGGUGCGAAAGCGUGGGUAGCACACAGGAUUAGAUACCCCUGUAGUC